RNAcentral lists this long non-coding RNA (631 nucleotides) under Sinocyclocheilus anshuiensis. RNAcentral's name for it is "lncRNA (ENSSANG00000016866.1)". The record is from RNAcentral. Lineage: Eukaryota; Metazoa; Chordata; Actinopteri; Cypriniformes; Cyprinidae.
GUCUUAUCCUUCUGCUGAGCCUCAGAAAAGCUCUGCAUCAUCAUGGUCUUUUCGGCAGCAGAAAGCCUCAGAGCGCUGGAAAGAAGCAAGACCAUACCACCUAAAAUGCCUUAUUGCAAAAGAGGCUGUUGGUCAGCCAUUGUGUUGGCUUUGCCAUGAGCCUGCUGUUAUUAGGUGCAGAAAGUGUCUUCCUGAGGAGUGGUUCUGUGGGGACUGUGAUGUAUUGCAUCACAAAAAACAGCCACUCCACAACAGGGAAUGUGUGAAUAAUGUUUUUUUUUAAGCCAUUCCUCCAACCUCAUGUGUCAUUAAGGGCAAGAUGGAUAUUUCAUCCAUGAGCAAGCUUGCAUUUUGCCAACAGUGAAGGCGCCAGACUGCUCCUGUGAAGGCACAAACUUCACCAUAUUACCGGGCAAACCAGUGAUUUUAAUUACCAUCAAUGGGCGUUUUGACUUGCAUCAGCCACUAUAUGUAUGUCAAAUGUGCCAGCAUCAGUGGAUCCCUGACUUGAAGGACCUCCUUAGGAGUGGAUAUUGGCCUGCCUCUGUCACCAGUUCCACACUUUAUACAUUGGACCUCCUGAGCUCCUUUCAGGAACUCAAGGUCAUCUCUCCGGGAUUCUCCAGACAAG